This is a long non-coding RNA of Tyto alba (common barn owl), 1401 nucleotides long. RefSeq lists it as uncharacterized. NCBI's taxonomy places the organism in Eukaryota, Metazoa, Chordata, Aves, Strigiformes, Tytonidae. The transcript has 3 exons. The record is from RefSeq and is a predicted model, not a curated record.
UGAAGCACUUUGUACCAGCCACUGUCAGAGGAAAGGUUAUGGACUAGAUUACUCUGGACCCACCCAUGCUGGUAACAUCCCUGUAUUGAAACUUCGCUUCUGAAUUGCUGUCCUCUCUGUAGACUCCAGCACUAAAUUACCUAGCUUGCAUUCUUUGGCUGCCUCUGGAUGUGCAAAUUGCAGUGGACUUGGCUACCAACCUGUGAGUAUCUGCCUUGGACAAGGACCGUGCUGCCUUCCUCCGUGCGUUUCUCACCUCCAUCUUGGAUCACUGCACUCAUUCUCAUCAGAAUAGAGGAGUCGAUGUUGGUCCUGGUAGACAUGCCCCAAAAGCAGACUCCAUCCUAGAUGCAAAAGCGGUCUGUGUAGCUGGCAGUGAAGCAUGGCAAAUAUUCACUGGUGAAGUGAAGGUCUGAUGAGACAUGCAGUUUGCUGUUCAGCCCAUUCUGCAACCUGAGUGUCUUAACCAGAGCUGAUCCCAACAACCCAGAAAAGCAACUGGAAGAGUUUCCUGACCAGUGUGGUACGCCUGUGGGAAACAACGACAGUGCCCCAAAGCGCACUGUUUUCACUGUCACCCCAACAGUACAGAAUUACAUGAAGCAGUGCCUCGUCUUACCUUGAGCAAGUACAGCCACAGCGAUGGUAUAUCGCUGCCCAUCUGUGCCGGCUUGGGAAGAGGUAUGUGCUUGGAAAGAGGUAUGUGCUUGACAAAUGUGCUUGAUUCAGUGCUAAUUACAUUGCCAAACCACUGUGCGUUUGUGUGUGUAUGUGUAUGUGGGUGUGUGAGGCAGAAGAUCAGGGAGUUGUCUCACCUGGCUCUAUUACCUGAGCAUCAAGCAUCUUGCCUAUGCUCCCUUAGUGUCAGUGGCAAGGUAGGUAGGGUAAUACAUCCUGUUCUAACCUAGGAGUUAAAGCUUAGAAAACUAAUUUAGAAAAAGAAUAGCUACUAUUUAGUUAACUGAACAUGUGAUAAAGGUCCCUCCUCAUUUAAAAAAAUGUCAAAUUAUCAUUAAAUAUUUUCAAAAUAUAGCACAUUUAAGACAACUUAAUUCCCUUCUAGGUUUACAAUUCACAUCUAAAACUUUCUCAUCUUCUUCAUCUAUUGCAAUGAAUUUUGACUCUCUCCAUUUCCAGCCUAGCCUGCUUCACUCCUCCUUAGGCAGCUUGGUGACCCUGAGCUCCCUGAGGAUCACUGUACUGAUGCUGGCCUCAGUGUGGGCAUGUGCUUGGCAUAGCACACUGCAGCCCAUGACUCCUGGGCUCAAGUGAUCUGGUGGACUUAGCCUCCCAGGUAGCUGGGACUGCAGGCACGCACCUCUGCGCCCAGAAAGCAGCAUGCCAACAGCAUCCUGGGCUGCAUUAGGAGGAGCAUUGGUCAAGGGUGGUGAUCUUUCCCCU